GGUUUGGAUAAGCGCUGAAAGCAUCUAAGUGCGAAGCCAACUCCAAGAUAAGGUUUCCCACCGGGUUAACCGGGUAAGGGCCCUGGUAGACAACCAGGUUGAUAGGCCGGAGGUGUAAGAGGAGCAAUCCUUUGAGCUGACCGGUACUAAUAGCCCGAGGGCUUGUUCACCUAUAACUCACUCU
RNAcentral lists this ribosomal RNA (184 nucleotides) under Chloroflexota bacterium. RNAcentral describes it as "Chloroflexi bacterium partial 23S ribosomal RNA". It matches the Rfam family "Bacterial large subunit ribosomal RNA", at positions 2757 to 2925 of the family's 2925-position model. The record is from RNAcentral. Lineage: Bacteria; Bacillati; Chloroflexota.